UGGGGAAUAUUGCACAAUGGGCGCAAGCCUGAUGCAGCCAUGCCGCGUGUGUGAAGAAGGCCUUCGGGUUGUAAAGCACUUUCAGCGGGGAGGAAGGCGAUAAGGUUAAUACCUUUGCGCAUUGACGUUACCCGCAGAAGAAGCACCGGCUAACUCCGUGCCAGCAGCCGCGGUAAUACGGAGGGUGCAAGCGUUAAUCGGAAUUACUGGGCGUAAUGCGCACGCAGGCGGUUUGUUAAGUCAGAUGUGAAAUCCCCGGGCUCAACCUGGGACCUGCAUCUGAUACUGGCAAGCUUGAGUCUCGUAGAGGGGGGUAGAAUUCCAGGUGUAGCGGUGAAAUGCGUCGAGAUCUGGAGGAAUACCGGUGGCGAAGGCGGCCCCCUGGACGAAGACUGACGCUCAGGUGCGAAAGCGUGGGGAGCAAACAGG
RNAcentral lists this ribosomal RNA (429 nucleotides) under Chloroflexota bacterium. Its description in RNAcentral is "Chloroflexi bacterium partial 16S ribosomal RNA". It matches the Rfam family "Bacterial small subunit ribosomal RNA", at positions 355 to 776 of the family's 1533-position model. The record is from RNAcentral. Lineage: Bacteria; Bacillati; Chloroflexota.